This 2306-nucleotide long non-coding RNA is filed under the name Zea mays. Its description in RNAcentral is "long non-coding RNA (ZMAY_LNC002246)". The record is from RNAcentral. Lineage: Eukaryota; Viridiplantae; Streptophyta; Magnoliopsida; Poales; Poaceae.
CCCUAGAAAAUAAUUUAGUAUGCGUCCACUAGACCAAUUGCACCCUCCUCAAUUUUGCUCUAGGUUCGCCACUGUGAUGGAGAUCCAAUCCAAUAGCAAGCAACAGAUGAGCAGAUCCAGUUACAGCUAGCUAGCUUUGUAUGAUAUGGCGUACGUUGACUUGGAGGCUUAAUUGAUCACCCUGGCAUGUCCCUUACUGAUCUAUCGAGUUGACCUCCAUCGCCUCAGCCCUGCAUGAAGAAACACCCAACACGACACCGCCUAGCUAGCUAGCUGAUGAGCUGCCCAUUAGCCUUUGUGCUUUCUUUCCGUCUCUUCAGUUUGUCGUCCUUCUUCCUUCCCGCUUCCCGGCACCUUUGGUUCUAUGUUCUCAAAAGAAGUUCACAAAAGAAGGAAAGAAUGAAUAAACAGGCGCAUACGCCUCGUAGGGAUGACAAUAAACUCUAAAUUUUACACUAAAAGAUUUAAAGAUCGAAUCAUGUUAGGAUUGAAACUCUAUUUUUAUUUAUUUAUGAACUAAAUUAUAUUUAGUAUAUUAACAUUUUGUAAAGAAUUAUUUAGAUCAUGAUCCAUUAAACAUCCGGCGGAUACUCAAGCAUCGGUUCAAUGAUUUUUCUCAACUCUCUCUCUACCACUUGAGUCGGCAGGAGUAUCUCCGAUCAUUAUACUUGCUCUAACAGGCCUUUCAUCGAUUGGUUGGUAAUAUAAAGUUGGUACGUUGAGCCUCCACCAAAUGGCUCUACUACCUUGAUGGACGAUAGGUGAUGGAAUAACCGAUUUGGGGUUCCGAAUUCAAUGCUUCCAUGCGUAAGCUGCAAGGGAAUUUUUGCUACACCCUGUCCCUGCUCAUGGAUCACGAGCUAGCUAGCUAGCUUCUUCUAGCUAGCAUCCCUCCCAAUUAAGGCCUUUGAUUUGAGGGACUCUAUUUUAGUAUUAUUUAGUCCCUAAAUUACCAAACGACGUGACUAAAAUAAGGACUAAACUGUUUAGUCUCUACUCCCUCAAAAGGUGACUAAAAGAGACUAAAUCAUAUUAGCCCUCGUUUGGUUUCUUUAGUCACCUAACUAAAUUUUAGGGACUAAGAUUUAGUCACUAAAGUACCUUGUUUGGUUCUUGUGACUAAAUCUGACUAAAAAGCAUUAAUUGAUGCGAAUAAUGAUUGCAUUACCCCUAUUAAUUAGUUGAUUCCUGCUGUACUAAGAAAGAUGAGAGGGCAAAUGAGGUAAAAAUCCUACUUUAAUCCUUUUUAGUCGCCCCUUUGAGAACUUAAGUUUAGUCACCCCACUCUAGUCACCAUGUUUGCCUCUUUAGGACUAAAAAUGACUAAACUUUAGUCACUAAACUUUAAUCACCUAAAACCAAAUGGGGUCUUAAUUUCACUUUUCGCCCCUUCUUUAUUUCAGUUGCACUAAUGACGGGAAAAACACUAAGAGAUAUUUUGGUCCUCUUAUGAUUUAUUUAAUGCGUUCUGAAUACUUUUAGUCCUUAGAACUAAAUAUGGUAGAGACUAAACUUUAGGGGGUGUUUGGGAGUGAAGUUUUUUCACAGUUUUAGAAGAAUACUGCAGUAUUCUCAAAUACUGCAGUAUUAUAUACAUAAUGGUGUUUGACAAGUUGACUAAAAUCUCUGUUUUUAAAACUGAAGUAUUGCAAAUACUAUAGUUGUUUUAAGGUAUUCUAAACUUAGGCCCUGUUUGGCACUGUAGCUUUCAAAUACUACAGUAUAUCAAAACCAUAGUAUACAAGAUGUCGUGACAGAAAACCACAGUUUUAACAAAACAGUAGUAAAAACGUAGUAUUUCUUAAUACAUAGCCAUGUUUGGUAGCACAGUUUUUGGCUUGUUUAAAUUCAACCAUCAGCUCGACAUGAUUGGUAGCACAGUUUAAAUUCAAAUAGCAGUUACCAUCGGCUAGAGAAGUUCAAAAUAAAAUUAGUCCAUCGAAUACAUGAUGCAGCAACCAUCAACCGACAAAACAUUCUAGCAAAUACAAGAUAAUCAACCAAUGGUUAGAUGGAAAUCAUUCUCAGUUUUGUCCUCCUUCCCAACUCCUUGCCAGCUUGAUUCUGCCAUGAAUAGACAUGAAUAGAGAGGAGAAUGAACAGGUACUUACCAGUUCUAUCCUCCUUCCCAGCUCCUCGCAUGUGGUGCUGGCUCAAUGGACCACUGCACAAGCGAGAAGGGUGGCGGAGAGAUCCAGGGGAAGAGAACCUAGGGAGGGGUGGCCUGGAGGAGAUGAAUCUGGGCAGCCGGCAGGAGAAAGAGCUGGGGGCGGCGGGAGUGCGUUAGAAGAGUUGGGUGAUGGCGG